AACCGCCGCCUGCGCGCCGGCUGCCCCUCGGCUCCUGGGAGCCGCGGCGCUACGGGCCUGCCGAGCACUCGGGCGGGCGCCGAGCAGGCUGGGCCCCGGCGCAGUGGCCUAGCCUGGACCGCAAGGCCGAAGCCGCCUCCGGGCCGCGUCCCGGUGUUUCGGGUUGUGUAACCUUGGCCAAAAUGCUUAAGCUUUUUUCCUGGCUGCCAAAUGGGGCCGAUCGUCUGACCUGCUGCCUCCGGAACUUGAGGGAUCAGAUCAAAUAACCCUUUCCUGGCGCUCGUCUGCCGCUGUGAAUGAAUCACGGGCUCCUGUAAUCACCGUUAGGAGAGAUUGUUAAACUCGUACAGGGUUGGAUGUUUUAAAGUUACUGAAUAUUUACUGGACCCCUACUGUUCAAUCAAGACAUGCUAAGUUAGCUUGCCAUUCUUGUUCAUUUAUGUGUUUACUUAACUAUUUCUGGGUCUCCUCUUCCCAGUCAUAAAUAUCUCUUGGAGUGUAAGCUCCUCGGAGCAGAGAUCCUGUUUCCGUAUUUCCUGUACCUAGAACAGUGCCAGAUCCGUAGUAGACACUGAAACAAAAAAUCUUUAAAAAAAAAAAAAUAUACGAAUGUGGCACCACCAUUUACACAGGCCACUAAGCCAAAAAUCUCGAACUUGUCAGAUUGUCUCUUCUCAGCCAUCAGCAGUCAACAAGUUCUAGCAUUUGGUCUCUUAAAAGUGGUUCAAGAGUUUAUUUUUCCUCUCCUUCCUCUGCCAGUACCAACCAGUCUUCCGUAUCACUAUGUAUUGCAAGAGUCUCACAAGAAGAUAUCCAUCACUGACUGAUCUUCCUCCCGUUUAACAUCCCCAACAGGUGCCAGGGUGAUGUUUUUUUUAUUCUAAAAAGAAACCAGAUUAUAUCGCUCACUCCCUUGCUUAAAACAGUUCUUCAAUGUUAGGUAAAUAAAUCAUGGAGUCACCACGAGGGCGUUCAUCUGCCAGGCACUAUUCUGAACGAUAUUGGCUCAUUAAAUUCUCACAGAAACCCUAUGCAGCAGGUACGGUGAAAAUGUUCCUGUUACAGAUGAGGUAACUGAAGCACAGAGAGCUUGAGUGGCUUGCUGAAACACCAGACCCACUCAGUCUGGCUCCAUAAUAGGUCUUUUUGCUGGUAAUGAUUUACCAACUAUACAGCCACUUUAAAAAAAGGAAAUAGGUAAGUACUGGCAUGGAAUGAUAACCAAGAGGUUCUGUUAAAUUUUCAAGUUGAAGAAAAUAAGAGUUUAACUUCAUUUUAUAUGGCAAUAUGUUAGUCUGCCCAUAGAAAACAAUCUGAAAGAUUAUAACAAACUACUAUCAGUGGUUAACUUUCUACUUUGUACAUGCCUAUAAAUGUUUGGUUAUUUUUUACAGUGAGCAUGUGCUAACUAUGUAAUCAGAAAAAAAGUUCCCUGCUAAAGGAUAAAGUCCAAAUUUUUGCCUAUUUUAUCCCUAAUUUAUUUCCCUAACUUUACCUUCCACCAAUUUCUAUGCUCUGCAUUCACCCGUAUAUAUUUUUACACCUCUGUGCCUUUGCUCUUUAUACUCCCUUUAUCUGGCAUGCUCUGCUUCACCUUGUGCCUUAGAUAUUAUCCUUUCAGACCUAGCUGAUGAUCACCUCCUCAGUGAAACCUUGCAUGAUCCCUUGAGAAAUGGAGCAUUCCUUCUUUGGGAUUUCAAUAGCAUUUGGCGUGUUGUGUUGUAAUUAUCUAUUCACAUUUCCUCUUCUACACUGCAUUCGGACCUUUUUGAUUGCAGGGACUAUGAUUUGUUUGUCUUUAUAUCUGUCCCAGCUGCUGAGAUAGUGCUUGUCACAUCAUAGGUAUUCAACUCUUUGCUGAAUGAAUGAAGACAUUAACAAGUGAAAAGUCAAAUAGCAUAGCAAGAUUUGAAGAAUGCUUUCUAGAUAGUGUAAGAAACAUCACAAAGCAGUACAUGAUUAAUUGCUGAAUGAAUCAUACACCAGUAAUUGCUGUAGAAAUCAGAGGAGGCAUCUUAUACAUCUUUGUAUAUCCUCCCGAGCACCUAGCAGGGUGACUUGCUCAUAGUGAAAGCUCAGUCAAUUCUGUGAAUGAAUAAUCACUGCUCUUGAAUGAAGUGAUGAUGUGCAAUUGAAGAACAAGCCGUGUAAGUGCUACAUUAAGAUGGAUGUGUAGUUUCUUAAGUAUCCAUCACCACCCUCCACAGAUUUGAGGUAGUAUGCAUGUGGCAGGUGUUUUGGGGAGGACUGGGUUGGCAAAUGCUUGGAGGUAGGGAGGACACAAGAAAAAGUAUAUUCAUUUAGGGAGGAUAGAUUAAAACCAGGAAACUACACACACAACAAAGAACAGGCAUGACAGUGUACUUUUAAAAAGGAACACAAAAGCUGGCCAACUGUGCAAAUGGUCAACAGGCAGUAAAAGCAAUGGGCAAUGAGAGAAGUGGAAAGAAACCCUAUUUCAGAGGAGUAUUUGGGAAAAUUUAAUGGAUGGAAGAGCAGGUAGAGCCAUUAAUUCAACGAUUAUUUAUUAAGCCUCUACUAUGUACCAGGCACUCUGGUAGGUACUAGGGGAAUUAUGCUGAUAAAUGGCAUUAGGUGAUACAAGUCUGACAGCAGUAGGUGUGGAAAGAAGGAAAGGGAGAUAAAGUAACUG
This 2653-nucleotide long non-coding RNA is filed under the name Homo sapiens (human). RNAcentral describes it as "non-protein coding lnc-LCOR-4:5". The record is from RNAcentral. Lineage: Eukaryota; Metazoa; Chordata; Mammalia; Primates; Hominidae.